GUGUGGGUGGGUAAGGCAUACAAAUGCAAUGCAAAUAAAACUAAAAACCUAGAAUAUCAAUCAUAGGAAAAAAUACAGUGGCUUCCAUAGGAGCCUAAACAGAAUUUCAACCUAUUUACUUGCACAUUAAACACCAUGCUACGUUUUAGAAGCUAAAAUUACAUUAUGAGUUAAAAGAGACCAUUUCACAGGAAGCAAAUAACAGGAGAAUGCCUAAAACCUAGCAGUAAAGAACCAAGUCUCAUACAUCUUGUUGCCCUCUUUAUUAAAAAUGAAAGUUGAGGAAGAAAGAACAGCUUUACCAGAUUUUGUGGUGAAAGUCCUCCUGUAAGUGUUGACAUACUUCCGGACAUCAUCUUCCUUUGAAAGGUUAAAGAGCUUUCUAAUCUUGGAGGCCCUCUUUGGACCUCUCAUCCUAGGUUUUUCAGUGUCCGUUAGCCCUGGCAAAUCAUUCUCACCCUUCUUCACAAUAACCAAGUUCAAAAC
RNAcentral lists this long non-coding RNA (486 nucleotides) under Gossypium barbadense (sea-island cotton). RNAcentral describes it as "long non-coding RNA (GBAR_LNC003472)". Lineage: Eukaryota; Viridiplantae; Streptophyta; Magnoliopsida; Malvales; Malvaceae. The record is from RNAcentral.